This is a long non-coding RNA of Carya illinoinensis, 285 nucleotides long. RefSeq lists it as uncharacterized. Lineage: Eukaryota; Viridiplantae; Streptophyta; Magnoliopsida; Fagales; Juglandaceae. The record is from RefSeq and is a predicted model, not a curated record. The transcript has 3 exons.
GAAAUGUUAUAGGAUCUUGCAUCAGGUCCAGCUUUUGAUCACUUGGAAAAUGCUCUACAUAAGUUUGAUGAUGGGCCAUUUUUCCUUGGGCAAUUCAGUUUGUUUAUGGCUUGCUAAUUGGAACAAUACCCUAUCAUCUGGAGCUACUCAUGCUGUUCUAAGGUUUGUAGUUGGAAUUCCACUUUACAAACAACGUAAAUAUUUUGGACUCAGAAAUUAUUCAAGGUAUUACCAUUGUGGUGAUUACUUACUUAACUUAUGCUCAAUGUAUUCUGUUAUGCAUGG